CGGCUCCACUUGUGUAACAACUUCCAUAGGCUGUGGACCUUCAACCAAAUCUGAAUGCGGCACAAGCAUCUCCUCGUCUUCUUGAUCUAACGUUGGUGGAGUCAUCAUAGUCAUGGAAGGAGAGAGACGAGCCGUUCGAUCGACAAAUCUGAGAAUCGAAACCGAAUCGAAAGCAGAUAAAGGAAAAGAAGGAAAAAAAACACAGUGAGAGAGAAAUACAAAGAAAAAAGAUAAGAGAGAUGGAAAAGAAGCAAAGCGGGCUCUGCAAGGAGAGACUCG
RNAcentral lists this unclassified non-coding RNA (279 nucleotides) under Hevea brasiliensis (rubber tree). The record is from RNAcentral. Lineage: Eukaryota; Viridiplantae; Streptophyta; Magnoliopsida; Malpighiales; Euphorbiaceae.